This 1647-nucleotide ribosomal RNA is filed under the name Manis javanica (Malayan pangolin). RNAcentral describes it as "bacterial LSU rRNA". It matches the Rfam family "Bacterial large subunit ribosomal RNA", at positions 1281 to 2925 of the family's 2925-position model. The record is from RNAcentral. Lineage: Eukaryota; Metazoa; Chordata; Mammalia; Pholidota; Manidae.
AUCAGAAGUGCGAAUGCUGACAUGAGUAACGACAAUGCGAGUGAAAAACUCGCACGCCGAAAGACCAAGGUUUCCUGCGCAACGUUAAUCGACGCAGGGUUAGUCGGCCCCUAAGGCGAGGCAGAAAUGCGUAGUCGAUGGGAAGCAGGUUAAUAUUCCUGCACUUCUAGUUACUGCGAUGGGGGGACGGAGAAGGCUAGGCCAGCACGGCGUUGGUUGUCCGUGUUUAAGGUGGUAGGCAGAGAUCUUAGGUAAAUCCGGGAUCUUAAUGCCGAGAACUGAUGACGAGUGUCCUUUUGGACAUGAAGUGGUUGAUGCCAUGCUUCCAGGAAAAGCCUCUAAGCUUCAGGUAACUAGGAACCGUACCCCAAACCGACACAGGUGGUUGGGUAGAGAAUACCAAGGCGCUUGAGAGAACUCGGGUGAAGGAACUAGGCAAAAUGGCACCGUAACUUCGGGAGAAGGUGCGCCGGUGAGGGUGAAGGACUUGCUCCGUAAGCUCAUGCCGGUCGAAGAUACCAGGCCGCUGCGACUGUUUAUUAAAAACACAGCACUCUGCAAACACGAAAGUGGACGUAUAGGGUGUGACGCCUGCCCGGUGCUGGAAGAUUAAAUGAUGGGGUGCAAGCUCUUGAUUGAAGUCCCAGUAAACGGCGGCCGUAACAAUAACGGUCCUAAGGUAGCGAAAUUCCUUGUCGGGUAAAUUCCGUCCCGCUUGAAUGGUGUAACCAUCUCUUGACUGUCUCGACUGUAAGCUCGGUGAAAUCCUGGUGAGAGUGAAGACACUCUCUAGCAACUGCGGGACAUAAAGACCCCAUGAAGCUUUACUGUAACUUAAUAUUGAAAACGUGCAUGGCAUGUAGAGCAUAAGCGGGAGACUUUGAACUUUAAUCGCCAGAUUAAGGGGAGUCGCCAUUGGAAUACCGCUCUUGUUUUGUAUUUUUUCUGACCUAUGCUGGUAAUCACGGCAGGGGAAAGUGUUAGGUGGGCAGUUUGACUGGGGCGGUCGCCUCCUAAAAGGUAACGGAGGCGCGCAAAGGUACCCUCAACACGGAUGGAAAUCGUGUUUUGAGCGUAAUGGUAUAAGGGUGCUUGACUGCGAGACAAACAAGUCGAGCAGGUAGGAAACUAGGCCAUAGUGAUCCGGUGGUCCGGUAUGGAACGGCCAUCGCUCAACGGAUAAAAGCUACUCUGGGGAUAACAGGCUGAUAGUGUCCAAGAGUUCACAUCGACGACACUGUUUGGCACCUCGAUGUCGACUCAUCUCAUCCUGGAGCUGAAGCAGGUUCCAAGGGUUCGGCUGUUCGCCGAUUAAAGAGAUACGUGAGUUGGGUUCAAACCGUCGUGAGACAGGUUGGUCCUUAUCUACAGUUGCUGAAGGAAGAUUGUGAAGAUUUGACCCUAGUACGAGAGGACCGGGUUGAACACACCGCUGGUGUACCAGUUGUCAUGCCCGUGGCACGGCUGGAUAGCUAUGUGUGGAAUAGAUAAACGCUGAAAGCAUCUAAGUGUGAAACUAACUUUUAAACUAAUCUUCCCAUUCGCAAGAAGUAAGAACCGUUGCAGAUAACAACGUUGAUAGGUUGUAAGUGUAAGUGGAGUAAUCCAUUCAGCUAAACAAUACUAAUCGUUCGAGGAUUUACAACC